Long non-coding RNA from Oncorhynchus tshawytscha (Chinook salmon), 527 nucleotides. The record is from Ensembl. NCBI's taxonomy places the organism in Eukaryota, Metazoa, Chordata, Actinopteri, Salmoniformes, Salmonidae.
CUCUACACUCUAACCACUAGGCUACCCUGCCGCCCCUCCACUUUAACCACUAGGCUACCCUGCCGCCCCUCCACUCUAACCACUAGGCUACCCUGCCGCCCCUCCACUCUAACCACUAGGCUACCCUGCCGCCCCUCCACUCUAACCACUAGGCUACCCUGCCGCCCCUCCACUCUAACCACUAGGCUACCCUGCCGCCCCUCCACCCUAACCACUAGGCUACCCUGCCGCCCCUCCACUCUAACCACUAGGCUACCCUGCCGCCCCUCCACUCUAACCACUAGGCUACCCUGCCGCCCCUCCACUCUAACCACUAGGCUACCCUGCCGCCCCUCCACUCUAACCACUAGGCUACCCUGCCGCCCCUCCACUCUAACCACUAGGCUACCCUGCCGCCUCUACACUCUAACCACUAGGCUACCCUGCCGCCCCUCCACUCUAACCACUAGGCUACCCUGCCGCCCCUCCACUCUAACCACUAGACUACCCUGCCGCCUCUACACUCUAACCACUAGGCUACCCUGCCG